Molecule: ribosomal RNA, 450 nt
Filed under: uncultured bacterium
Lineage: Bacteria
Description: partial 16S ribosomal RNA
Rfam family: Bacterial small subunit ribosomal RNA
Source: RNAcentral
GUGGGGAAUUUUGGACAAUGGGCGCAAGCCUGAUCCAGCAAUGCCGCGUGCAGGAAGAAGGCCUUCGGGUUGUAAAGCACUUUUGGCAGGAAAGAAAUAGCGCGUGCUAAUACCAUGCGCAAAUGACGGUACCUGCAGAAUAAGCACCGGCUAACUACGUGCCAGCAGCCGCGGUAAGACGUAGGGUGCAAGCGUUAAUCGGAAUUACUGGGCGUAAAGCGUGCGCAGGCGGUUUUGUAAGACAGGUGUGAAAUCCCCGGGCUCAACCUGGGAACUGCACUUGUGACUGCAAGGCUAGAGUGUGUCAGAGGGAGGUGGAAUUCCGCGUGUAGCAGUGAAAUGCGUAGAGAUGCGGAGGAACACCGAUGGCGAAGGCAGCCUCCUGGGAUAACACUGACGCUCAGGCACGAAAGCGUGGGGAGCAAACAGGAUUAGAAACCCCGGUAGUCC